UGAGUUUGAUCAUGGCUCAGGACGAACGCUGGCGGCGUGCCUAACACAUGCAAGUCGAACGGAGUAAGAGAGAAGCUUGCUUAGCUCUUACUUAGUGGCGGACGGGUGAGUAACGCGUGAGUAACCUGCCUUUCAGAGGGGGAUAACGUUCUGAAAAGAACGCUAAUACCGCAUGAUAUAUUGGGGUCGCAUGGCCUUGAUAUCAAAGGAGCAAUCCGCUGAAAGAUGGACUCGCGUCCGAUUAGCCAGUUGGCGGGGUAAAGGCCCACCAAAGCGACGAUCGGUAGCCGGGUUGAGAGACUGAACGGCCACAUUGGGACUGAGACACGGCCCAGACUCCUACGGGAGGCAGCAGUGGGGGAUAUUGCACAAUGGAGGAAACUCUGAUGAAGCAAUGCCGCGUGAGGGAAGACGGUCUUCGGAUUGUAAACCUCUGUCCUUGGUGAAGAUAAUGACGGUAGCCAAGGAGGAAGCUCCGGCUAACUACGUGCCAGCAGCCGCGGUAAUACGUAGGGAGCAAGCGUUGUCCGGAUUUACUGG
RNAcentral lists this ribosomal RNA (540 nucleotides) under uncultured bacterium. RNAcentral describes it as "bacterial SSU rRNA". It matches the Rfam family "Bacterial small subunit ribosomal RNA", at positions 1 to 557 of the family's 1533-position model. The record is from RNAcentral.